Molecule: ribosomal RNA, 459 nt
Filed under: uncultured bacterium
Lineage: Bacteria
Description: partial 16S ribosomal RNA
Rfam family: Bacterial small subunit ribosomal RNA
Source: RNAcentral
CCUACGGGUGGCAGCAGUGAGGAAUAUUGGUCAAUGGACGAGAGUCUGAACCAGCCACGUAGCGUGAAGGAUGACUGCCCUAUGGAUUGUAAACUUCUUUUAUAUGGGAAUAAAAUGUUCCACGUGCGGGAUUUUGUAUGUACCAUAUGACUAAGGAUCGGCAAACUCCGUGCCAUAAGCCGCGGUAGUACGGGGGAUGCGAUGGUUAUCCGGAUUUAUUGGGGGUAAAGGGUGGGCAGGCGGAAUUUUAAGUCACCGGUAAAAUCGUGGGGCUCAACCCCAGACAGCCGUUGAAACUGGGUAGCUAGAGUGUGGGAGAGGUAUGCGGAAUGCGUGGUGUAGCGGUGAAAUGCAGAGAUAUCACGCAGAACACCGAUUGCGAAGGCAGCAUACCGGUGCACAACUGACGCUGAGGCACGAAAGCGUGGGUAUCGAACAGGAUUAGAUACCCGAGUAGUC